Molecule: RNA transcript, 4081 nt
Organism: Salvia miltiorrhiza (redroot sage)
Lineage: Eukaryota; Viridiplantae; Streptophyta; Magnoliopsida; Lamiales; Lamiaceae
Gene name: putative late blight resistance protein homolog R1A-10
Exons: 4
Source: RefSeq, a predicted model, not a curated record
CGUCCUCCACUUGCAAAAAUAAAGUAGACAAUCCAUUGGCUUUAUUGUAAAAGGAAAACAUAUGGUUGGUCAAUAAUGAAUAAUUUAUCUCUCAGUCUUCUAAACUAGCCCUGCUCUGUUUCAGCCAUUCUUCCAGCUUAGUUUAUCUUUAUCUGCAAAAAUCUAGUAGCAAAAACUUAACUGUGAUCACCAAAGAUGGCUUAUGCUGCUCUUCUUUCCCUCGCCCGAACCACUGCAGAAAUAAUCUUGGAUCAAGAUAGAUAUUCCAUUUCUUGUAAUAAAAAACAACAAAUUCGAUCUAUCUAUGAACCAUUUAUUUUCUUGCAGGAGUUUCUUGAAGAUUUUCCCGAAAAAGCCAACAUCUUGGAUGGGCGAAUUAGAGAUUUAGCAUAUGAAGCAGAACAUAUUAUUGAGUCUUUCAUAUUGGUGGAAGCUGCAUCACAUUGGUGGAAUGUUUUAGCUGCUAAAUCAAAGCUAAAAAGGCAAAUAAGAAAGAUAAGAAACGAAACAGAUUCAAUCACAAGGGAGGUGAUGAUCAUCAAGAAUAACAGUGCAGAUACAGUACAACUUGGUGCUUCUUCUUCCGCAGCAGCAGGUUCACCAUCCAGAUCUGCACCGAUCAUCAAGAUUGGCUAUAUGGUUGGUUUACAUGAAGAUUUGCUAACAAUAAAAUCUCGACUCUGUGGAGAAUCGCCAAAUUUAGAAGUUAUCCCAAUCGUUGGGAUGGGAGGUAUAGGAAAAACUACUCUUGCAAAGUGUGUUUACGACGACCCACUAACAGUGCAGCGGUUCGAUAUUCGUGCUUGGGUCACAGUAUCACAGGACUACAAUGCAGAUGUAGUUUUAUCAGCCCUCCUAGCUUCCAUGGAAGAGUUUGAUAAAGAUAGAUCCGAGGAGAGCAAAGAUAGAUCCAAGGAGGAAGAAGAAUUGCCUGGGGCGAAAGUGCACAAGAUCUUGAAAGGCAGGAGGUAUCUCCUAGUAAUGGAUGAUAUUUGGAGCACAGAUGCUUGGGAUGAUGUAAGACUUAUACUUCCCGAAGAUGGGAAUGGAAGCCGAAUCAUAUUAACGACAAGAGAAACUGAUAUGGCUGCUUAUGCCUGUCGUUUGAGCGGUCCCCACAAGAUGCGUUUCAUGGAUGAGGCUCAGAGUUGGAAUCUACUUCAGCAGAAGGUGUUUGCACAUCAAGAUUGCCCUCCGGAGUUGGAGAACAUUGGAAAGGAGAUCGCGAGAAGCUGCAAAGGGCUGCCACUCGCAAUCGUGGUGGUUGCAGGGCUCCUAUCAGCAGUUAGCACCAAUGUAGCUUCAUGGAGCGAAAUUGCACGAAAUGUAAAUUCAGUUACUAUAGGAGGACAAUUUGAAAAUAUAUUGUCUUUGAGUUACACUCACUUGCCUCAUUAUCUGAGGCCGUGUUUCUUGUACAUGGGAAUGUUUCCUGAGGAUUGUGAGGUCCGUGUCUCAAAACUCAUCAAAUUAUGGGUAGCUGAGGGAUUCUUGAGACGUCUGAACAGAUCUAAAACCUUAGAAGAAGAGGCGGAAGUGUUUUUGGUGGAUCUUGUCAAGAGAAACCUUGUUUUGGUUACCAAGAGAAAGUGCGAUGGCAGGAUCAAAAGUUGCAGCCUCCAUGAUCUUAUGCGAGAUUUGUGCAUAAGAAAAGCGCAUGAAGAGAAGUUUCUUGUGAACUUCAGCAAAGGGCUUUCAGUAAAGGGCAGAAAAAAUCAGCGUCGUGUAAGUUUUACUCCUUCGGGUUUAUCAUACCUCUCAGAACUUUAUGGCUUAACCAUCCAUACGAUUUUCGAAGGUUUUAGAUUGCUAAGGGUAUUGGAUGCAGGAGAUGUUUAUGUGCAAUCACUACCAGAUCAACUAUUUGACCUAUUUUAUCUAGCAUACCUUGCUGUCUACUAUCUUGGAAGGAUACCUACAGCCAUUUCAAAGCUUCAUAAUCUUGAAACUUUAAGCCUUCACGCAAAGAAUAAUUGGAUGAACUUUAGAUCAUAUUUAAUCCGUUUGCCACAGGAGAUUUGGAGGAUGCCAAGAUUGAGACAUCUUGUCGUCUAUGGCAGGUUACCAAAUCCAGAAGGAAUAACAGCUUCUAGUCUAGAAAACCUCCAAACACUCUCUAUAGUGUCACAUACCAUGUGUAGGAAAAGGAUCUUGAGAAUGAUCCCAAACCUAAAGAAAUUGGAAAUUGAUUGCUCUGAUGGCGAAAUUUUCCUCAACAAUUUGGUGCAUCUGCGUCAACUUGAAGAUUUGAAGUUACGUUCUACUAGAAUUGUGUUUCACCAGAAGGAUGACUUCACUUUUCCUAAGUCUCUGAGAAAGUUGACAUUAAGCCAUGUGCUUCUUCCUUGGAAGGAGAUGACUGUUGUAGGCUCGUUGCCAAAUCUUCGAGUGCUUAAACUGACUCAUUGGGCUUGCAAAGGCAGUACAUGGGAAACAAGCGAUGGAGAGUUUCCUAAACUAGAAAUUUUGGUUAUAGAAAGGUCGUAUCUCAAGGAUUGGAUAGCUGAAAGUAGCCACUUUCCAAUGCUCAAAAGCCUCGUGCUAGACGAGUGUUGGAAGCUCGCUGAAAUACCAGAAGAUAUCGGGGAAAUUCCAACACUCGAGCUGAUUGAGGUGAAGGGGAAAGUGCGAACGUCACUUGUGGAGUCGGCCCAGAGGAUUCUGGAGAAACAACAAGAGUGGGGAAAUGAUGCCCUUCAAGUUCGUUGCAUGGCUCAUCGAUGAUGUGCUCUUUCCAUCCUUCUGUCGACACAAACGAUUAAUUUUGUUGCAGAUCAGGAAAUAUGCAAUCAAAUGUCAUCAACUAGGCCUCAGAUUCUCACAAUGGCAGUUUUGGCUUCAAGUUCGUUUUAUGACUCGUUAAUCAUGAUACUCUUCUAAUGAGCCAAUGGAAUAUGGAAAGAAGUGUCUUCGACCAGAGCUAUUUUUCUGUAUGCUUUGAUUAGUGAAAAUUAUAUUUUUGCUGUUUUUAUGUCGUGGAUAGAGCCACUUUUAUGUUAUUCUCUAGUUUCAUUGCUUCCAUGGUGUAAGAAGCUCAAGAAAAUAAUUUAUAGCCCAAAUCAAAGUAACAAUUUUUUUUAGGAGAAUGACAGUAAAGUACAACUCAAUUGGUAAAACACUUCAUUAGGAAUUCAUAUCAUCACAUGAGGAAAUAGAGAAUCAUAAUUAAUCAUCUUUUCUGUUCAUUGUUCUUCAUUUAUCUCAAACCCUUCACUCUGAUCACCAUUCAAUCAACUAGGUCACUCAUACUAUAAGGCUGCGUUAUUUUUGGUUGUAAAUUUAUCAUGGAAAAAUGAAGGAUAAACAAAAUUUCACCCUUUAAAUCCUUCCUUUCUUUUCCCACAUUUCCUACUUGACCAUUACUCAUUCCUCAUUUACACUACAAAGGAGGGAUAAUAUUAUUCAUCCUUUGUAGUGUAAAUGAGGAAUGGGUAAGGGUCAAGUAGGAAAUGUGGGAAAAGAAAUAAAGAAUUUAAAUGGUAAAAUUUUGUUUAUCCUUCAUUUUCCCAUGAUAAAUUCACAACAAAAGAGAACGCAGAGUAAAAAGUUAUUCAUGCAAAUCCCAAAAUAAUGAUAUCCUAACUAUCACGCACAGCCAAAUCUAUCUUUUAAACUAUUUUUUGUUCCAACUUUUGAAGAUUGAGACAGGCAAACCAAAUUAAGAUAACUAAACAAGCAUAAGAUGAUAAAUCUCAAUACUCGUUAUUUAUUCUGCCAACAUAUGAAGCCCAAACACUAACUUGAAUCAAACCUAGCAAAUAGGUGGUGACAACUGUUUUAAGUAAUAAAGUCAGUAAAUAUGAAGCAGAAAUCUUUCAGGCUUUAGGUUCAUAGGAUAUACGAAGCUCUAACAUGCGUAGGAAGUACUGGCGUGCAUUCGGUUAUAUGGUUUGGUUUUUGGUUUUACCAAAAACCAAACCAAAUCAUAUUUUGUUCGGUUUAAAAAAAAAAUCGAAUCGAACCGAAUUAACCGGAAUUUUUGUACUUAAAACCGAACCCAACCGAAAAAACUGAAUUAAAAAAAAAACAGAAAAUUCCGAAAAAAUCCGAAAAAGCUAUAAAAUUAAAAAAAUAUUAGAAG